AAAUCGUACCCCAAACCGACACAGGUGGUCAGGUAGAGAAUACCAAGGCGCUUGAGAGAACUCGGGUGAAGGAACUAGGCAAAAUGGUGCCGUAACUUCGGGAGAAGGCACGCUGACACGUAGGUGAAGUGAUUUACUCAUGGAGCUGAAGUCAGUCGAAGAUACCAGCUGGCUGCAACUGUUUAUUAAAAACACAGCACUGUGCAAACACGAAAGUGGACGUAUACGGUGUGACGCCUGCCCGGUGCCGGAAGGUUAAUUGAUGGGGUCAGCGCAAGCGAAGCUCCUGAUCGAAGCCCCGGUAAACGGCGGCCGUAACUAUAACGGUCCUAAGGUAGCGAAAUUCCUUGUCGGGUAAGUUCCGACCUGCACGAAUGGCGUAAUGAUGGCCAGGCUGUCUCCACCCGAGACUCAGUGAAAUUGAACUCGCUGUGAAGAUGCAGUGUACCCGCGGCAAGACGGAAAGACCCCGUGAACCUUUACUAUAGCUUGACACUGAACAUUGAGCCUUGAUGUGUAGGAUAGGUGGGAGGCUUUGAAGCGUGGACGCCAGUCUGCAUGGAGCCGGCCUUGAAAUACCACCCUUUAAUGUUUGAUGUUCUAACGUGGACCCGUGAUCCGGGUUGCGGACAGUGUCUGGUGGGUAGUUUGACUGGGGCGGUCUCCUCCUAAAGAGUAACGGAGGAGCACGAAGGUUGGCUAAUCCUGGUCGGACAUCAGGAGGUUAGUGCAAUGGCAUAAGCCAGCUUGACUGCGAGCGUGACGGCGCGAGCAGGUGCGAAAGCAGGUCAUAGUGAUCCGGUGGUUCUGAAUGGAAGGGCCAUCGCUCAACGGAUAAAAGGUACUCCGGGGAUAACAGGCUGAUACCGCCCAAGAGUUCAUAUCGACGGCGGUGUUUGGCACCUCGAUGUCGGCUCAUCACAUCCUGGGGCUGAAGUAGGUCCCAAGGGUAUGGCUGUUCGCCAUUUAAAGUGGUACGCGAGCUGGGUUUAGAACGUCGUGAGACAGUUCGGUCCCUAUCUGCCGUGGGCGCUGGAGAACUGAGGGGGGCUGCUCCUAGUACGAGAGGACCGGAGUGGACGCAUCACUGGUGUUCGGGUUGUCAUGCCAAUGGCACUGCCCGGUAGCUAAAUGCGGAAGAGAUAAGUGCUGAAAGCAUCUAAGCACGAAACUUGCCCCGAGAUGAGUUCUCCCUGAGACUUAGAGUCUCCUGAAGGAACGUUGAAGACGACGACGUUGAUAGGCCGGGUGUGUAAGCGCAGCGAUGCGUUGAGCUAACCGGUACUAAUGAACCGUGAGGCUUAACCUUACAACGCCGAAG
This 1321-nucleotide ribosomal RNA is filed under the name Salmonella enterica. RNAcentral describes it as "partial 23S ribosomal RNA". It matches the Rfam family "Bacterial large subunit ribosomal RNA", at positions 1639 to 2925 of the family's 2925-position model. Lineage: Bacteria; Pseudomonadati; Pseudomonadota; Gammaproteobacteria; Enterobacterales; Enterobacteriaceae. The record is from RNAcentral. RNAcentral also lists the same sequence under 4 other names.